Molecule: RNA transcript, 5395 nt
Organism: Girardinichthys multiradiatus
Lineage: Eukaryota; Metazoa; Chordata; Actinopteri; Cyprinodontiformes; Goodeidae
Gene name: zinc finger protein 516-like
Exons: 6
Source: RefSeq, a predicted model, not a curated record
ACGUCCUCCCCCCCCCACCAUUCAUCGUCCCCCGAACAACAACGGUCUGCCGCUGCGGACCCUCCUGAGGACCGAACUGCGGUUCAGGUGCGCCGCUGUGAUUUAAAUAACAACUCAAGUUUAUUUUAGCGCUGCGCGAAGAGAAGGAGAGAUUAGCACACCGCUGAAGGACAGUGUCCUGAUUUGUCGACAAGUGUUUAUCCGCGGAACGGAGCUCGCCAUUGUUUUAUCUGUGACGGGAUUCCUUCAGGAACAACCUGCCGCCUGACGUUAACUCCCCUGCUGGAGGUAAACUUCUGGAACCUUUUUAUCUUCAAAAGGUCAAGAUGGAACCUAACGUGGUGACUUUUUUCAGAGUUGUGGUGCCUGCUUCAAGAACUUAAUAACUUUUUGGGCCUAAACUUUGGAUAUUCAUCAGAUUAUCUACGCAGCUGUUAACCCGUGAGAUCUCCACGAAAAAUAAUGGAGACGGAGGAGAAAGAGGAUGUAUCACAAAGACAAACUGCUAUUAUAAAAGAGGCAGAGGAAGAUGCAGCGUCGUGCCACACAUGUGGUGUGUGUGGUCGUAGUUUUCCUCUGCUCAGCUCUCUCUCUCAGCACAUGAGAAGGCACACGCGGGAAAAGCCGUACAAGUGUCCCUACUGUGAGCACCGGACAGCUCAGAAAGGUAGCCUUAAGGCUCAUAUCCGAAGCCAUAAACUGGGUCUACUCAGCAAGAACCCUGGAGAAAAUAAGGUGGAGGGAAACCAGGGACAAAAAGAUGAGCCUGACAUGCUUGACCUCCCUGAAAUCAUCAACAUACCUGACAAAGCUCAUUACAUCAAUGGGAAGGUGAAGAAGAAAGUAACUAAGAAAAAAGUUAAAAGUAAAAAUAGUGUCGAGGUUGGGGAUGGGCCUUUCUCCUGCAUAAUUUGCGGCCAGGUUUUCCCUCAGGUAUUGCUCCUUAAAUCUCACUUGAAACGGCACCACAGCUCCCAAGAUCACGGGUGUCGCAUUUGUGGACGUCGUUUCCGCCAAGCAUGGUUCCUCCAAAGCCACAUGCGCAUCCAUCGGGUCAAAGCACAACUCCAAGGGGUAAAAAGCAAUGAGCCGCCUACCAUGAUUAACGGGACACCUCAGGACCCAACGUCACUGAUAAACGAAGAGUGCCUCUACGAGCUCUGCGCCGGCUGCGGUAACUUCUUUUAUGACCGUACAACCUUGCAGAUUCAUGAAAAGCUGCACAAAAUGAACCCAAAUCCUAAAAAUGAAAACAUGAAACCCUCUGAGUUGCAAGUUGAUAAGAAGCAUUUUUUAGAAAUUCUGAACCUCAAAAGUACUGACCCUAAGGGAACACCUAAAGAAAACAUUCAGGGUAAGAGAAUUCCAGAACUAGACCCAGUUUGUAGUUACCAAGCAUGGCAGUUAGCCACAAGGGGACGACUAGUGGAGUCCUCAGAAAAAUGUCUGGGCUGGGAGGAGAGGCUGGCUGAUGCAGAGGUGGCAUAUGACAUGGAGAAAGGAGAAUAUGUGCCCCUGAAGCAGGAAAAGAAGAGGAAACAAACUGACAGCUCCAACUCUAGUGUCAAGAAGAAGAAGGGUGACACAAGCCACGAUCACACACCCAGCUCCCUAAGUCACGCUAAAGGUGGAGACAAAAAGAUUUUCCAGAAGGACCGCAUCAUUUUGAAUGGACUUGGUCACGCGUUUUAUGAGGCACUGCAGACAAAGAAGGCAAGAGAACUCUCAUCUAAGCCGAGUAAGAACAUCAGGAGCCAAGAGCAGGAAGAUAAAGAGUCCUACUCUUGUGAGUACUGUGAUUUCUACACUGUUGACUCCUCGCUGCUCAGAUCCCACCUGCACAGCCUUCAUCCCGGUCCCUACUGCAAACAGAGCACCAAGGUGGGCAACAUCAGCAAAAGUGGUUCUUCGAGAUACAUGGACUACCUCAGGAGCAGGAGUGUGUUGCUCAGUCAGCCAUACUGGAAUCACUACACAUAUCCUCCAGGUCAGGAGUUUGCAGAGGGAUACAAUAAGAUGGAAAAAUCAAACGGGAGCGAGGUGAAAGAGGAGGUACAUUCUGGUGGUGAAACUGGCAGUCUUCUCAAUCUUUCUUCACCCUCCGCUACUGUUGAAAAUGCUAAUUAUCCAGUCAAAACAGACAGUCCGGUGCAACAUCAGUGUCUAUACUGCUCCCACACUAGCAAUUACCCAGAAGUCCUGUGGAUUCAUCAGCGAGUCACACACAGGGUGGAUGGCAGCAGCUCUGUAGCACCAAAGUGGGCACCCUGCAUAAGCAUUUUAAAGAGCUUAAAAGCAGGGGCUUCUCAGUGGAGACGCACAGGACCACCACCGUUCCUGGAAGGCAAGGACUGCCCAACUUUACCCAUCCCACGAACACAGCGCACACAGCCUCCAGGUUUCACCACCCAAAGCAGCAGUAAGCUCUCACUCCCAAAGACCCAGUCAAGCAUCCCAAGACCCAAGCAUCAGCCAAAGGACUCAAAAUCCUCAGAUGCAACACAUUCUCGUGGGAAAGUGGUGUUCAAGCCUCAAAGGAAGUCUGCUGAACAUAAACGAGUAGUAGAUGUUGCAGGUAAAGCCUCCAGUUCCCAGCCUACUUCAAUAAACAGUUCUUUGCACUCCAAGAGUCUCCUGAGCUUACAGCCUUCAAGCAGUCCCAAACACAGAAGAAACAGAGCUACUGUAGAGGGAGUCUUUCCACAGGAGGGUUUGGGUUUUAUGUUAGCAAGAAAUCAAAGUGGGACUUCUUCUAACGCAGUAGCUGAUAGACCCCACUCCCGAAGGUACUCAUGGGAUUUUUCCUCUGGUCUUAAGGGUCCUGAUCUUUGGGCAUCCAUAAAUAUGUGGGGGCUACAUGGUGGGAAAGCAUAUUUAGAUCCACACGUUUUUGCUCAGGAAAAAAGUGACUCAACAGGAGACACCUCAAAGGAGACGGACCUUUUAAGUCUCUUGAAGAGCUACAGUCCCCAUGAGUUGGCAGCUUUUUAUCAGCACUGGGGAUAUGUUGAUCCAACACUGGAUCCACAAGAUCUAACAAACUCCCAGUCGGUCACAACAGAUGGCUGCUCACACUGAGCCAGGUUCUGCAGGAGGUUUCUUCUUGUUAAAGAGGGGUUCUCCUCACCACUGUCGCUACAGCGUCUUUAGUUUGAGGGAUUGCUGCAAAGUUAACAGCUAAAUGUCCACAUUUAGUAGUAGCUGAAAGUCAGUGACUCGAUGGAAUUGGUUGGGUUUCUUUAGAUGGAAAGCAUUUUACCAGUUUAAUAAUUAGCUGAACUAGACCGCAUUGUUUAAUAACUACAAUCAAACUGGAAUUCACGUAACUAAUGUUAUUGUUAUGAUUGGAUUCUGUAUAAAAAUAGUUUUUUCUGUAUAGUGCCUUGACACGGCAUUUGUUGUGAAAUGGCACUAUAUAGUAAACUUAAUUUAACAAAAUGUAUUUGUAAAAAAUUUUGAAACCCAUCACUUUUUUCCCUUCCACUUCCCAAUGUUGCACUUCUUUGUGUGGUUCUAUCUCACAAAACCCCAAUAAAACAGGGCGAGGCUUGUGACUGUAAGACGACAAAAUGUGUUUUACAAGCAACACUGCAGUUAAACGGAAGCUUUGGAAAUGAAGUUCAUUCUUCCUCUGAAUCCUCCAAACAGAAGAGCAGCCGCUCCACCCCAUCUUCAGGAUCUCUGCAUAAAGGAACGUGAGGUGUCGCUGUUGGUCCCAGCUGCCACAAUCCUACCUGCUGGAAUGAAGCAGCCAUUACUCCAAAAUGAAAUAAUAAAACACAGAGGCUAAAGUGAAAAAUGCACAUUAUAUUUGAAACAAUGAGGUCAACUCUUUAUUUUAUGUUAUGGUUAUUUAAUUUGAUUUGAUUUUUCUUUGCUUAUUGAACGUUGACAUGGUGACAGCUGAUGCAGCAGACACGGUAAGGUGUUUGGAAACUGGAAAUAAUACUGUAGUCCAGAUGGAAAUAAAAUAUGUUGCUUCAGUCUCCUAGCUACAAAGGAUAUGUUUUUAGUUGUAGGAAAACUGUAAAAUGGAUCCAUCAAAACAACAGAAAAAGCUUAAUACCAUAAAAGAAUUCAGAAACUUAAAUAUGACAUUCAUCAAUGUCAUGUUUAAGUUGUUUCAUCUCUUGUAAAUGUUUUGCUUUUUAACUUUAUUCUUGUUGUUUUUGGUAAGGUUGUUAUUGUUAAGACAUUCAGAAUUACAGAUAAACUAACAUCACUUCAGUUUUGAGCCCAAAUUGAACGGAUAAUCUCCAACAUCAGAGCAGGGAUGUACAACUCAAGGUGCCAGUUUAUGUUUCAAUCACUUAUAUUAAGAAUAGUCAUAGCGCUGUUAGUUUCCGUGGGUAAAAUACUGUUCACAUUAAAACUUUAGUUUAUUUUUAGUCACAGUUGAGGUAGAUAAGGUGCACUUUUUGGUCAUUAAUAAGAAAAAGAAUACUGUAAAUCAGUGUGUUGAACUAUUUUUGUCUAAUUAGUUUACAGCCUCAGAAAGUUGCACUGAAGGACCGGGGGCAGAACGAUCAAACGUCUCUAAGCAGUUUUAGACCCUGGCUGUUUAGUUCAUACCCAUACAUUGUUUCCCAUCAUGCAGCUAGUCUGUAGCGUCCAAAAAGGUGACCUGCUUUAUUAAUUCAGAUUUAAAAUACAAAUGCAGUAUAUGCCUCUGUUUCAGUUAGAUUUAUUCUGUGAACAUCUAGUCGUCUUUCACACUUUGCGAUGUAGCAACUGAAAGCUGUGAUUUGUUUUUUCUUUUUUUCUUUAGAAGUUAAAAAUGGUAGCGAUAACAGUUUGUACUGAUGUAGCCCCUACAAACCCAUGCUAGUCAAGUUACUGAAAAAAAAAUGUAUGUUUUGAUUUAUAAUUAUUCACUUUAAUAUCCUUUUGUUUUCAUGUGUACUUUGUUGCAGGUCUCUUUUAGUAUGUUUACAUUUUAGUACAUCAUCCUCUCCCAUAGAUAAAAUGCCUAUGCACGUGACAUGAAGCCAUAAGCGUAUGAUUGUUGGGAGAUCCAAAGAGCAUACAACUAUUAAAUCGAGUGUUAACAAUAAAUGUCUUUCCUUGUUGACAAAUAAUGUUCAUGUAAUUUUAUUUCAGGGGCUUGUUUUCUAAAAAUGAAAUUUAAGAACCCAGAGAUACUUGAUAUUUGUAGAGAGGAAAAUAGCGGCAUGCUGCUCUCUGAAACAACAGAAAAUGGUCCAAACGUUUUGUAAACAUCAAUUUUUAAAUUGAGUUCCCAGUGGUUUCAUUUUUUUGACUGUAAACAAGUUUCGUAGUUAACAAUUAUGUUGGUAUCAGAAGUUGUUUUUUCAACAGCUCCAGUGUGUUUGUAAAAUUAUUUGAAUAAAAUUGAUACAUGUUGAUUUAUAUUAAAAGUGUUUUUGCUACAUUG